Molecule: ribosomal RNA, 464 nt
Filed under: bacterium Fw70-63
Lineage: Bacteria
Description: bacterial SSU rRNA
Rfam family: Bacterial small subunit ribosomal RNA
Source: RNAcentral
UGGCUCAGAUUGAACGCUGGCGGCAUGCCUUACACAUGCAAGUCGAACGGCAGCACGGGUGCUUGCACCUGGUGGCGAGUGGCGAACGGGUGAGUAAUAUAUCGGAACGUGCCCUAGAGUGGGGGAUAACGUAGCGAAAGUUACGCUAAUACCGCAUACGAUCUAUGGAUGAAAGUGGGGGAUCGCAAGACCUCAUGCUCGUGGAGCGGCCGAUAUCUGAUUAGCUAGUUGGUGGGGUAAAAGCCUACCAAGGCAACGAUCAGUAGCUGGUCUGAGAGGACGACCAGCCACACUGGGACUGAGACACGGCCCAGACUCCUACGGGAGGCAGCAGUGGGGAAUUUUGGACAAUGGGGGCAACCCUGAUCCAGCAAUGCCGCGUGUGUGAAGAAGGCCUUCGGGUUGUAAAGCACUUUUGUCAGGAACGAAACGGUGGGGGUUAAUACCUCCUGCUAAUGACGGUA